Non-coding RNA from Podarcis lilfordi (Lilford's wall lizard), 70 nucleotides. The record is from the annotation of a GenBank genome assembly. Lineage: Eukaryota; Metazoa; Chordata; Lepidosauria; Squamata; Lacertidae.
GGCUGUGGUUCAGUGGCAGAGCAUCUUCCUUGCAUGCAAAAGGUCCCCGGUUCAAUCCCAGGUAGGGCCG